CGGCGGACGGGUGAGUAAUACUUAGGAAUCUACCUAGUAGUGGGGGAUAGCUCGGGGAAACUCGAAUUAAUACCGCAUACGACCUACGGGAGAAAGGGGGCAGUUUACUGCUCUCGCUAUUAGAUGAGCCUAAGUCGGAUUAGCUAGAUGGUGGGGUAAAGGCCUACCAUGGCGACGAUCUGUAGCUGGUCUGAGAGGAUGAUCAGCCACACCGGGACUGAGACACGGCCCGGACUCCUACGGGAGGCAGCAGUGGGGAAUAUUGGACAAUGGGGGAAACCCUGAUCCAGCCAUGCCGCGUGUGUGAAGAAGGCCUUUUGGUUGUAAAGCACUUUAAGCAGUGAAGAAGACUCCGUGGUUAAUACCCACGGACGAUGACAUUAGCUGCAGAAUAAGCACCGGCUAACUCUGUGCCAGCAGCCGCGGUAAUACAGAGGGUGCAAGCGUUAAUCGGAAUUACUGGGCGUAAAGGGAGCGUAGGUGGCUCGAUAAGUCAGAUGUGAAAUCCCCGGGCUCAACCUGGGAACUGCAUCUGAUACUGUUGAGCUAGAGUAUGUGAGAGGAAGGUAGAAUUCCAGGUGUAGCGAUGAAAUGCGUAGAGAUCUGGAGGAAUACCGAUGGCGAAGGCAGCCUCCUGGCAUAAUACUGACACUGAGGCUCGAAAGCGUGGGUAGCAAACAGGAUUAGAUACCCUGGUAGUCCACGCCGUAAACGAUGUCUACUAGUCGUUGGGUCCCUUGAGGACUUAGUGACGCAGCUAACGCAAUAAGUAGACCGCCUGGGGAGUACGGCCGCAAGGUUAAAACUCAAAUGAAUUGACGGGGGCCCGCACAAGCGGUGGAGCAUGUGGUUUAAUUCGAUGCAACGCGAAGAACCUUACCUGGUCUUGACAUAUCUAGAAUCCUGCAGAGAUGCGGGAGUGCCUUCGGGAAUUAGAAUACAGGUGCUGCAUGGCUGUCGUCAGCUCGUGUCGUGAGAUGUUGGGUUAAGUCCCGCAACGAGCGCAACCCUUGUCCUUAGUUACCAGCGGGUUAAGCUGGGAACUCUAAGGAUACUGCCAGUGACAAACUGGAGGAAGGCGGGGACGACGUCAAGUCAUCAUGGCCCUUACGACCAGGGCUACACACGUGCUACAAUGGUAGGUACAGAGGGCAACUACACAGCGAUGUGAUGCGAAUCUCAAAAAGCCUAUCGUAGUCCAGAUUGGAGUCUGCAACUCGACUCCAUGAAGUAGGAAUCGCUAGUAAUCGCGGAUCAGAAUGCCGCGGUGAAUACGUUCCCGGGCCUUGUACACACCGCCCGUCACACCAUGGGAGUUGAUUGCACCAGAAGU
RNAcentral lists this ribosomal RNA (1333 nucleotides) under uncultured bacterium. Its description in RNAcentral is "16S ribosomal RNA". It matches the Rfam family "Bacterial small subunit ribosomal RNA", at positions 96 to 1427 of the family's 1533-position model. The record is from RNAcentral.